AUUGAACGCUGGCGGCAUGCCUUACACAUGCAAGUCGAACGGCAGCGGGCCUUCGGGUGCCGGCGAGUGGCGAACGGGUGAGUAAUGCAUCGGAACGUGCCAUUGAGUGGGGGAUAACGUAGCGAAAGUUACGCUAAUACCGCAUAUUCUGUGAGCAGGAAAGCAGGGGACCGCAAGGCCUUGCGCUCUUUGAGCGGCCGAUGUCAGAUUAGCUAGUUGGUGAGGUAAAGGCUUACCAAGGCGACGAUCUGUAGCGGGUCUGAGAGGAUGAUCCGCCACACUGGAACUGAGACACGGUCCAGACUCCUACGGGAGGCAGCAGUGGGGAAUUUUGGACAAUGGGCGCAAGCCUGAUCCAGCCAUGCCGCGUGAGUGAAGAAGGCCUCGGUUGUAAGCUUU
Molecule: ribosomal RNA, 399 nt
Filed under: uncultured bacterium
Lineage: Bacteria
Description: bacterial SSU rRNA
Rfam family: Bacterial small subunit ribosomal RNA
Source: RNAcentral